GACGAACGCUGGCGGCGUGCUUAACACAUGCAAGUCGAACGGAAAGGCCCUGCUUUUGUGGGGUGCUCGAGUGGCGAACGGGUGAGUAACACGUGAGUAACCUGCCCUUGACUUUGGGAUAACUUCAGGAAACUGGGGCUAAUACCGGAUAGGAGCUCCUGCUGCAUGGUGGGGGUUGGAAAGUUUCGGCGGUUGGGGAUGGACUCGCGGCUUAUCAGCUUGUUGGUGGGGAGUGGCUUACCAAGGCUUUGACGGGUAGCCGGCCUGAGAGGGUGACCGGCCACAUUGGGACUGAGAUACGGCCCAGACUCCUACGGGAGGCAGCAGUGGGGAAUAUUGCACAAUGGGCGGAAGCCUGAUGCAGCAACGCCGCGUGCGGGAUGACGGCCUUCGGGUUGUAAACCGCUUUCGCCUGUGACGAAGCGUGAGUGACGGUAAUGGGUAAAGAAGCACCGGCUAACUAC
Molecule: ribosomal RNA, 464 nt
Filed under: uncultured bacterium
Lineage: Bacteria
Description: partial 16S ribosomal RNA
Rfam family: Bacterial small subunit ribosomal RNA
Source: RNAcentral